UUGACCUCGGAUCAGAGGGAUACC
RNAcentral lists this ribosomal RNA (24 nucleotides) under Aspergillus niger. Its description in RNAcentral is "partial large subunit ribosomal RNA". The record is from RNAcentral. Lineage: Eukaryota; Fungi; Ascomycota; Eurotiomycetes; Eurotiales; Aspergillaceae.